This 691-nucleotide long non-coding RNA is filed under the name Malus domestica (apple). Its description in RNAcentral is "long non-coding RNA (MDOM_LNC018617)". The record is from RNAcentral. Lineage: Eukaryota; Viridiplantae; Streptophyta; Magnoliopsida; Rosales; Rosaceae.
UGUCAAUGUAAAAAAAAAAGCUAGAAACUCUCUUCUAUAAAAGGAGAUCAUGCUCCCACAAUAUUUCCUCAUGUCAUUUGUACUAAAUCAUUCACUAGUACUCACUAAAUGAGUGCUUGAACCUAUGUACUUGUGUAAACCCUUCACAAUUAAUGAGAACUCCUCUACUCCGUGGACAUAGCCAAUCUGGGUGAACCACGUACAUCUUGUGUUUGCUUCCCUGUCCAUAUCCAUUGACAUACUUAUCCACACUAGUGACCGGAGCAAUCUAGCGAAGGUCACAAACUUAACACUUUCUGUUGUACCAAAGUCCUCACUGAUUUUGUGCAUCAACAAGAUUAUUAAAAAAAAAAAAGGAGGUAAAACGCCAUUAUAGGUCUCUUGUGCCUAAUAAAACAAACAAUGAUACAAACCAAAUCAAAUAGUCUGGAAAGAAUAGGAAAAACCACCCUAAUUGAAUACAUUGAACAACAAAAUUACAUGAAAAAGCUAGCAUAUAAAAAAUAACACACAUUAACGAACGAAGAAAGGCUCACAUUGUUUACAAAAAAAGUCCUCGAGAUGCUUUGGUGCAUUGCGUAAUUUUUUGCUGCUUCAAAUCCUUGGUGAAUUAAUGGUUCCUCAUGAAACUACAAAUUCUUUUUUGUUGCUUCACAAUGUUUGCAAUCAAACUACAAAUUCUUUUUCAAAU